RNAcentral lists this unclassified non-coding RNA (118 nucleotides) under uncultured Ascomycota. Its description in RNAcentral is "sequence contains ITS1". Lineage: Eukaryota; Fungi; Ascomycota. The record is from RNAcentral.
AUGAAGACGGGUCUUGGACCCCUCAUCCCUCAACCCGUGGAAGUGAGAUGUGCUUCGGCGCCUCUGGGCGUCGAAUCUAUGCAGUAUAGCUUGUGUCUGAAGAGAAACAAAACAUUUA